Long non-coding RNA from Alligator sinensis (Chinese alligator), 1214 nucleotides. RefSeq lists it as uncharacterized. The record is from RefSeq and is a predicted model, not a curated record. The transcript is spliced from 3 exons. Lineage: Eukaryota; Metazoa; Chordata; Crocodylia; Alligatoridae.
GAGGGCGCUGCGGCGCAUCCCUCUGCGCAUGCGCACAUCAGCAGGGCCUGCCUGCGCUGGAGGGGCGGGACGACGAACACUUUCUGAUCAGGCAGCGCAGUAGCCACCCCUCCGGGGGGCCGUGGGCUUGUAGGGGCGUUUGGGGUCCUUCCCCCCCGCGGCUCUAGAAAUCCCUCUUAGAGAAUGGGACGGUCUCUUAAGGGCGCGCAUGCGCAGACGCCUCCGUGGUCCGACGCUACUGGGGCGCAGCCUCCCUGUCCACCCGCGCGCGGCGCAAAGGCCCCUCAGGCAGUGCCGCGGGUAGCUCUGUCCCCGCACCUCUCUGCUUCCCACUUCCGCUCGCUCGUGUUAUCAGCGUGCACGCGCGGGGCUGCGGCUGCGGCUGCUGUGGCGAGUGAGGGGCACCAGCAGGGGGCGUGUGUGGGGCCUUUCAUUUUAAUCACUGACUUUUCUUUUUGGCGGGGGUGUUAUCAGACAAUUUGUGAUUUUAUUUAGUUCUUUAUCAGAGAAUUUGUGAUUUUUUUUUUUUAUCAGGAUCCCUGCAGAUCAGCCCCACCGCCUCAGCCCUACCUGUCUGCCAUGGACCCACCCCGAUCCAGCACGUGGGGCCGUGCCAUCCGGCCUGCAGGGCUCGGAGAUUUGGCAGCGGGGAAGCGGUCAGCAGCUUUAAUUGCCCCGCUGUCUAAUGUCCAGACCCGUGGGAAGCCCACAGGCCAGCUCGGCCCCUGGGUUGUAGAUUGAGCCUUGUGUGUUAGGAGCUUCAGUCUUUGCUUCACCAGUCAUUAGUUUGCCCUCCGAGUUCGUUAGGGACUUAUUGCCUCCCUUGCUGCCUCCGCCUCAAUUCUAUCCAGUCUUCUGAUUUUUCUCCUUGUAUUCGUAUGGGAUGGUCUUAAACCCCUCCCUCAUGAUGCGGCCACGUUGCAGUCACUGUAAAAUCCUGUGCCGUUUGCAAACAGAAAGGGUUACAACCUGCUUUUUUACACCAAAUCCAAAGUUCUCGUGAAGGUUGAGGGCACUGGGCCUGCCGGCACUCCCUUCCAGUUUAAGGUUGCGCCUGAAUUCUUCUCCAGCACCUCAUGUGUACAAAGUAACCACACUUCUGUUCAUACUAGAGGUGUUCAAGGACAAGCACUGAGCUACGAGUCUUCCACGAUGUCUGGAAGCAGAUGAAGAGUCCCAUGCCUCAGCCUCUCCUCAUAAGGCCUAUUUUCUUG